This 504-nucleotide ribosomal RNA is filed under the name uncultured bacterium. Its description in RNAcentral is "partial 16S ribosomal RNA". It matches the Rfam family "Bacterial small subunit ribosomal RNA", at positions 30 to 523 of the family's 1533-position model. The record is from RNAcentral.
AUUGAACGCUGGCGGCAGGCCUAACACAUGCAAGUCGAGCGGUAGCACAGAGAGCUUGCUCUCGGGUGACGAGCGGCGGACGGGUGAGUAAUGUCUGGGAAACUGCCUGAUGGAGGGGGAUAACUACUGGAAACGGUAGCUAAUACCGCAUAACGUCGCAAGACCAAAGAGGGGGACCUUCGGGCCUCUUGCCAUCAGAUGUGCCCAGAUGGGAUUAGCUAGUAGGUGGGGGAACGGCUCACCUAGGCGACGAUCCCUAGCUGGUCUGAGAGGAUAGCCAGCCACACUGGAACUGAGCCACGGUCCAGACUCAUACGGGAGGCAGCAGUGGGGUAUAUUGCACAAUGGGCGCAAGCCUGAUGCAGCCAUGCCGCGUGUAUGAAGAAGGCCUUCGGGUUGUAAAGUACUUUCAGCGGGGAGGAAGGCGAUAAGGUUAAUAACCUUGUCGAUUGACGUUACCCGCAGAAGAAGCACCGGCUAACUCCGUGCCAGCAGCCGCCGUAA